This 253-nucleotide ribosomal RNA is filed under the name uncultured bacterium. RNAcentral's name for it is "partial 16S ribosomal RNA". It matches the Rfam family "Bacterial small subunit ribosomal RNA", at positions 524 to 776 of the family's 1533-position model. The record is from RNAcentral.
UACGUAGGGUGCGAGCGUUGUCCGGAAUUAUUGGGCGGAAAGGGCUCGUAGGCGGUUUGUCGCGUCGGGAGUGAAAACCCAGGGCUUAACUCUGGGCUUGCUUUCGAUACGGGCAGACUAGAGGUAUGCAGGGGAGAACGGAAUUCCUGGUGUAGCGGUGAAAUGCGCAGAUAUCAGGAGGAACACCGGUGGCGAAGGCGGUUCUCUGGGCAUUACCUGACGCUGAGGAGCGAAAGUGUGGGGAGCGAACAGG